UGGCGCACGGGUGCGUAACACGUAUGCAACCUACCUUACAUUGGGGGAUAGCCUUUCGAAAGGGAGAUUAAUACCGCAUAAGACAGUAGCUGGGCAUCCAGCAGCUGUUAAAGAUUUAUCGAUGUAAGAUGGGCAUGCGACCAAUUAGUUAGUUGGCGAGGUAAUGGCUCACCAAGACUAUGGUUGGUAGGGGAACUGAGAGGUCAAUCCCCCACACUGGCACUGAGAUACGGGCCAGACUCCUACGGGAGGCAGCAGUAGGGAAUAUUGGGCAAUGGACGCAAGUCUGACCCAGCCAUGCCGCGUGCAGGAUGAAGGCGUUAUGCGUCGUAAACUGCUUUUAUACAGGAAGAAACGACUCUUGCGAGAGGCAUUGACGGUACUGUAUGAAUAAGCACCGGCUAACUCCGUGCCAGCAGCCGCGGUAAUACGGAGGGUGCAAGCGUUGUCCGGAUUUAUUGGGUUUAAAGGGUGCGCAGGUGGUUUAUUAAGUCAGUGGUGAAAGACGGUCGCUCAACGAUUGCAGUGCCAUUGAAACUAGUAGACUUGAGUAAAGUAGAGGUGGGCGGAAUUGAUAGUGUAGCGGUGAAAUGCAUAGAUAUUAUCAAGAACUCCAAUUGCGUAGGCAGCUCACUUGGCUUUUACUGACACUCAUGCACGAAAGUGUGGGUAUCAAACAGGAUUAGAUACCCUGGUAGUCCACACUGUAAACGAUGAUAACUAGGUGUCGGCCGAAUCUGGUCGGUGCCACAGCGAAAGCGUUAAGUUAUCCACCUGGGGAGUACGCCGGCAACGGUGAAA
RNAcentral lists this ribosomal RNA (801 nucleotides) under uncultured bacterium. RNAcentral's name for it is "bacterial SSU rRNA". It matches the Rfam family "Bacterial small subunit ribosomal RNA", at positions 96 to 899 of the family's 1533-position model. The record is from RNAcentral.